CAAUAGCGUAUAUUAAAGUUGUUGCAGUUAAAAAGCUCGUAGUUGAACCUUGGGUCUGGCUGGCCGGUCCGCCUCACCGCGAGUACUGGUCCGGCUGGACCUUUCCUUCUGGGGAACCUCAUGGCCUUCACUGGCUGUGGGGAGACCAGGACUUUUACUGUGAAAAAUUAGAGUGUUCAAAGCAGGCCUUUGCUCGAAUACAUUAGCAUGGAAUAAUAGAAUAGGACGUGUGGUUCUAUUUUGUUGGUUUCUAGGACCGCCGUAAUGAUUAACAGGGACAGUUGGGGCCGUUUAUAUUUCGUUGUCAGAGGUGAAAUUCUUGGAUUUACGAAAGAUAAACUUCUGCGAAAGCAUUCGGCAAGGAUGUUUUCAUUGAUCAAGAACGAAAGUUAGGGGAUCGAAGACGAUUAGAUACCA
Molecule: ribosomal RNA, 417 nt
Filed under: uncultured eukaryote
Lineage: Eukaryota
Description: SSU rRNA
Rfam family: Eukaryotic small subunit ribosomal RNA
Source: RNAcentral